RNAcentral lists this unclassified non-coding RNA (314 nucleotides) under fungal sp. RNAcentral describes it as "partial internal transcribed spacer region". The stretch from base 1 to 46 matches the Rfam family "Eukaryotic small subunit ribosomal RNA", at positions 1786 to 1831 of the family's 1831-position model. Lineage: Eukaryota; Fungi. The record is from RNAcentral.
AAGUCGUAACAAGGUUUCCGUAGGUGAACCUGCGGAAGGAUCAUUAUCACAAAUGAUUUUAACUCUCUUAAUCCAGAGUUAACCUCUUCUUAAACCAAUCUAACAAAAUGUGAAAUCGUUUUAUAUAUAUAUUUAUAUUCUCUUGCGAGAAUAUAUAUAUAUGUAUAUUAUUAACCAAUUGAACCUUUUUCUAUAUUGUUAUUUUAAUUAAAUUUAGUACUGAACUAUAUAUAUUGUUAUUCAAUAACAAUAUUAUAAUACAUUACGAAACAAUUUAAAUAAAACAACUCUUAGCAACGGAUAUCUUGGUUCUC